CCCCCCACUUGCCCACUUGCCCACUUGCGCCGAACACCACCAUGCCACUGUCGGCCAUGGCCACCUGCAAGAAGCCAAGUAGAAAUAAACAAAUAGAAAAUAAACAUUUGUAAUCGGUUAUAAAAACCGAAAAUCUCACCAAUGAAAAGGGGGGAUUUUUUUAUUUUUUGCUAUGAAAACAAAAGAUUUUCUUUCAAUAUUAACAGAUUCAAUACAAGAACCAUUCGAAAAUAUAUAUACUAUCAGGGGCUCUAACACCAAAUCGGAGAAUCAAAUCUAAAACCUAAGGUGACUCUUUUUUUUUUUUUUCUUUACUGUUUUGAGUUUAUUUUCUACAUAAAAAUACUAAAAAAUAUUAAAACAUAAAAAUAUAUGCAUUAUUAAGCAAAAAAAAGAAAAAAAGAAAAAAAAUAUUUUUUUUACCUUUUCCGGCCACCGCGUGCGGUGGCCGGCGCCGGCGCCGGCGAGCCUCCGGUGGCCGUCCGGUGACCGGCCCCCCUGGCCGGAUUCCCCUUUCCCCCUCCCUUCUCUCUCCCUUCUCUCUUCCCUCUCUCUCUUUUUUUUUU
Molecule: long non-coding RNA, 566 nt
Filed under: Gossypium barbadense (sea-island cotton)
Lineage: Eukaryota; Viridiplantae; Streptophyta; Magnoliopsida; Malvales; Malvaceae
Description: long non-coding RNA (GBAR_LNC023381)
Source: RNAcentral